Molecule: ribosomal RNA, 110 nt
Filed under: Neogale vison (American mink)
Lineage: Eukaryota; Metazoa; Chordata; Mammalia; Carnivora; Mustelidae
Source: RNAcentral
GUCUACGGCCAUACCACCCUGAACGCGCCCGAUCUCGUCUGAUCUCGGAAGCUAAGCAGGGUCGGGCCUGGUUAGUACUUGGAUGGCAGACUGCAAGUCAGUUAUGAGUU